This 214-nucleotide ribosomal RNA is filed under the name Escherichia coli. Its description in RNAcentral is "partial 16S ribosomal RNA". It matches the Rfam family "Bacterial small subunit ribosomal RNA", at positions 1 to 214 of the family's 1533-position model. Lineage: Bacteria; Pseudomonadati; Pseudomonadota; Gammaproteobacteria; Enterobacterales; Enterobacteriaceae. The record is from RNAcentral.
AAAUUGAAGAGUUUGAUCAUGGCUCAGAUUGAACGCUGGCGGCAGGCCUAACACAUGCAAGUCGAACGGUAACAGAAAGCAGCUUGCUGCUUUGCUGACGAGUGGCGGACGGGUGAGUAAUGUCUGGGAAACUGCCUGAUGGAGGGGGAUAACUACUGGAAACGGUAGCUAAUACCGCAUAACGUCGCAAGACCAAAGAGGGGGACCUUAGGGC